GUGUCCUACGGGAGGCAGCAGUGGGGAAUAUUGCACAAUGGGGGAAACCCUGAUGCAGCGACGCCGCGUGAGUGAAGAAGUAUUUCGGUAUGUAAAGCUCUAUCAGCAGGGAAGAAAAAAGACGGUACCUGACUAAGAAGCCCCGGCUAACUACGUGCCAGCAGCCGCGGUAAUACGUAGGGGGCAAGCGUUAUCCGGAUUUACUGGGUGUAAAGGGAGCGUAGACGGCAGCGCAAGUCUGGAGUGAAAUGCCGGGGCUCAACCCCGGAACUGCUUUGGAAACUGUGCGGCUCGAGUGCGGGAGG
This 305-nucleotide ribosomal RNA is filed under the name uncultured bacterium. RNAcentral describes it as "bacterial SSU rRNA". It matches the Rfam family "Bacterial small subunit ribosomal RNA", at positions 334 to 655 of the family's 1533-position model. The record is from RNAcentral.